CCUACGGGUGGCAGCAGUGAGGAAUAUUGGUCAAUGGACGAGAGUCUGAACCAGCCAAGUAGCGUGAAGGAUGACUGCCCUAUGGGUUGUAAACUUCUUUUAUAUGGGAAUAAAAUGUUCCACGUGUGGGAUUUUGUAUGUACCAUAUGAAUAAGGAUCGGCUAACUCCGUGCCAGCAGCCGCGGUAAUACGGAGGAUCCGAGCGUUAUCCGGAUUUAUUGGGUUUAAAGGGAGCGUAGGUGGAUUGUUAAGUCAGUUGUGAAAGUUUGCGACUCAACCGUAAAAUUGCAGUUGAAACUGGCAGUCUUGAGUACAGUAGAGGUGGGCGGAAUUCGUGGCGUAGCGGUGAAAUGCUUAGAUAUCACGAAGAACUCCGAUUGCGAAGGCAGUUCACUGGACUGCAACUGACACUGAGGCUCGAAAGUGUGGGUAUCAAACAGGAUUAGAUACCCCUGUAGUC
This 460-nucleotide ribosomal RNA is filed under the name uncultured bacterium. Its description in RNAcentral is "partial 16S ribosomal RNA". It matches the Rfam family "Bacterial small subunit ribosomal RNA", at positions 338 to 795 of the family's 1533-position model. The record is from RNAcentral.